AAGCCACCUUAAAGCUCACCUUGACCAUGCGUAUACCAAUGACCAAAUAAGCAGAUCUGGCAUGGGUCAAGGUGAAAGCUCACAGCAGGUUCAGAAUGUGCCGGUACAAGCUGUGACUAGUACUGAAAGUCAGCACACCAGUGAACAGAAAUCUCCAAAGCAGCAAGAAGAAGACAAAAAAUUAGAAUCCUCUCAAAAAGAAUUAAAAGACAGCUUACACAAACUUGAACCAAAAAAUGAAACUGUGUCCCCAGGAGGUGAUAGCACAGUGACAUUGGACGUGAACCCCACACCUGAAAUAACCCCAACAGUAUUUCAACAAAAUCCUCUGGUUGCAGCCACUUUGGGUGUGUCCAUUUCAGCUGUGUUAUUAUAUCGCCCAAGAUACUGGAAAAAGAACCCUCAUGUGAUUAAUACCGUUCCCAAACGGUGUUGGGAAGUUUUAAUAGGAAUGAUAUAUUAUGCAUUAGCAGUAGAAUUGCUGUUAGAGUCAACUGGAAGAAGUUUUAAUUCGAACUGGAAUCUAAAGAUGCAUAAGCUGCCAACUAAAAAAGAAGAUCAACCAUUAUCUGUCAAAGAUUGAUUUUGUUCUACCAAGUACAGCAUUUAUGCAGGAAACAAUAGAUCAAAAGACCUUUUUGAUAAUUGCUUUAAAAACAUUUACAAAAAAUUGUGCAGGAAACAACCAUUGUAGUUUUUGACAUUUUGUUCAUUGCAUGAAAACAGUUUGGUAUUCCACAACAUUGAAAAGGUGUCACAAAUUGACAAUGGGAUUUGAAACUGCAGGGAAAAGGACCCCAUGCAAAUCUUGCAUUAUCACUAGUGUUCUAACAAUGGGAGGUAUGGCUGGCUAUGUUAUUUGGGUGGCCAAGAAAAAUCCCCAAAAUUAUCAAGGCAACAAGAAGAUACUUUGGUUUGUGACAAGUUAUUGCCUGGCAGGAACAUUCCUUGGCCUUGCUUCCACAGUGGUAAUGAGGAGCUUGAGUACAAUUUCUAACACAGAUGAAGAGAUAAAAGAGAACAAGUGAUGUCAU
This 1034-nucleotide long non-coding RNA is filed under the name Lingula anatina. RNAcentral describes it as "uncharacterized LOC106160657". Lineage: Eukaryota; Metazoa; Brachiopoda; Lingulata; Lingulida; Lingulidae. The record is from RNAcentral.